Molecule: ribosomal RNA, 262 nt
Filed under: uncultured bacterium
Lineage: Bacteria
Description: partial 16S ribosomal RNA
Rfam family: Bacterial small subunit ribosomal RNA
Source: RNAcentral
GGCCGCGGUAAUACGGAGGGUGCGAGCGUUGUCCGGAAUCACUGGGCGUAAAGGGCGCGUAGGCGGUCUGGUAAGCGUGUGGUGAAAGGCUGGGGCUCAACCCCAUGCAUGCCGGGGAUACUGGGGAACUGGAGACAGGUAGAGGCCAGCGGAAUUCCGGGUGUAGCGGUGGAAUGCGUAGAGAUCCGGAAGAACACCGGAGGCGAAGGCGGCUGGCUGGACCUGAUCUGACGCUGAGGUGCGAAAGCGUGGGGAGCGAACA